GUGCCAGCAGCCGCGGUAAUACGUAGGGGGCGAGCGUUGUCCGAAUUUACUGGGCGUAAAGCGCGUGUAGGCGGCUCUUUAAGUGGGAUGUGAAAUCCCGUGGCUCAACCACGGAACUGCAUUUCAAACUGGAGGGCUUGAAUUUGGGAGAGGAAAGUGGAAUUCCUGGUGUAGCGGUGAAAUGCGUAGAUAUCAGGAGGAACACCCGUGGCGAAGGCGGCUUUCUGGCCCAACAUUGACGCUGAGACGCGAAAGCUAGGGGAGCGAACGGGAUUAGAUACCCCGGUAGUCC
Molecule: ribosomal RNA, 292 nt
Filed under: uncultured prokaryote
Description: partial 16S ribosomal RNA
Rfam family: Bacterial small subunit ribosomal RNA
Source: RNAcentral